GAUCUCUUCCUGGAGGUUGUUCCUUUCUGAAGCUUUCCCCUGUGAACCUGGAAUCUUCUGAUUCGGGUGAAUCUCAUCUGCUUUUAAGUGACCUGAUGCCAAAUAAACUCUCCUGUGAUCAAAAACAAAAAUUCCUCUGAUGGCACCAACCAUUUAACCACAUCUUGAUCAGAGGCUACCUUGGUAUGUGGGUGUGACUGCCUCAUCCUAGACAGCCCUCUGGAUGGGAUUUCUUCAAUUUCUUUUUGUACUGGUCCUUCAUGUUCCAGAGCCUCAUACCGGACGUAUAAGGGCACCUGGGAAGAGAUAAACAAGAGUCUUCAAGACAUGCUUGUGAAAAUCUGCACCAACAGAGGACCACUGUUGCCAUCAUCAUUGCUGAGGCACAUCAGCCACCACCUCGCUGUGCUAACACACACUUACUGAUCUCCAUAAACAUUCAGCAAGCUUUGAUGGAUGUCAGUGGGUGCAAUUUAUUUUUGCAUAGAGGAAUUCAAUUGCACAUCUUUGCAUUAUCUGCACUUCCCUGUCAGAUGCCAUUCUGUCAGACUAUGGCCCUCUGCUGCCAUAUGUUGUUGCAUGGCAACAAAAUUUAAUGGAAUAUUGGUGAGAACAUUCAACAUAUAGUGCCGUACCAACAACAUCUGGCUCUGACGAUGGUCACUGAGAAAGAUGGUUUUGUGAACACCUCUUUUCUGGCUCAAAGCUUGCUUUGUAAGGCCUUUUUGGUGAUAAGACUCUAACUGAUAACUGCGAAUUAUCUAGGGGAAAAAGUGGUUACUGUCACCAUGCCACAAUACUUCUUUUCAUGAUUGUGAAGAUAAGCAGAACUGUGACAAGCAGCGUUUUUAAGAGGUGCGACUUGAAGGAGCUGACCACUGCAAAAGGCAAUAAUGCUUGUGCAUGGCAACCAAGGCACCACUCCCCACUGGCUUAUCUGUUGGACCAGGUGUGUCAUGUCACACUAACAGAGAAAAGAAGAAGAAAAAGGAAAGAUACUGAAAAGUGGGGGGAAAAGGUCCCCCCUAAGGACUUUGGAGAAAAACUCCCAAAGAAAAGAAACAUUUGAUGGAGGAAUUCCCUAAGAGAAAAAGACCUCUUAGGAAAGAAUCCCUUGGGGUGAUUGGACAAGUUCCUGAAAUCAACAGAAAAAGUAGGAGCAACACUGAAAACCUUGGUGGUGACUAUCUCUCUUGCUUUCUACAAAGACUCCUUGCUUUUAUUUCCUAUCUUUUUCUAUCAUCCAUCUUCCCUUCCCUAUCUCUCUAAAGUACUAGGAUGUGUAAUAAACCGGUCGGGCAAACAUUUGACAUUUGAGUCUUGAUCUCACCGUUGGGUAUACAUGUAUCAAAAAGAACUUCCUCUCCCUCCUAUAAUUGGAGCGAGACAGUCACCGUAAUGAAAUAGUAGGCAUUACUUUCACAACCCUCAUGUAUUUCCCUUUACAAAUAUAUUAUGUGAGCUCUUCUGUUUUCUGUGUUUGGUAAAAUGAAUGGCUUAAAACAGCAUACUUUCAUGUUCCUUACAUCAGGCUUAUAAAGAAGUGCUUUCUUUGACAUGAUCCUGCUAGAAAUAUUUUGCAUAUCUGAAUUUUUCCUAGAAAAAAGAAUGACACAGGACAUAUUAAUA
Non-coding RNA from Meleagris gallopavo (turkey), 1629 nucleotides. Lineage: Eukaryota; Metazoa; Chordata; Aves; Galliformes; Phasianidae. The record is from RefSeq and is a predicted model, not a curated record.